GACAAUAGUGGUUGGUAGUGAUCUUUGUAGUAGAUGAUGGUUGUGAUGGUGGAGGUGGUUGGUGAUGAUGGGUGGUGGUUGACAAUGAUGGCGGUAGAAAAGGUAGCGAUGAUGAUUAUGAAUAGAGUGGCGGUGAAUAUUAUCCAACACCAGAAUACCUCUUCAGACCUAUUAAGACUUGAUUUGAGAUCUGAAUGAUUAAGACCUAUUCAGACCUAUUAAGAGCUAAAAUCUUGAUUAAAAAAAUGUACUUAAUGGUAUGAAGUAUAAACCAUUCAGAUUCAGAUCUCCAUUAAGUGCAAACAAAUGAGCCCUUAGUGAGCAUCACAUCUCACCAAGUAUUAUAUUUCUAAAAAGUGCUCCACUUUAUGUCAUUUUUUAUAAUUUUAUCCUCAUUAUCAUAAGGUACACAUAAAAUGUGCCUCCACAGGAACUAGUUUGAUAAAAAAUGGAAAAGAACCUAUUCUAGUGGUGUAUAAGAACUAUUUAAAUAACGGUAUAUCAUUCAAGCCCUCAUAUCUUCAGCAUAUUCCUUGAUCUUUAGAGAUGAAUCUUCAAGUUGAGGGAUCUGCUAGAGAUUGAUUAUUUUUAAUGAACCAAUACCCCGAAACUAGGAAAAGUCUCCUCAAGCUUAUCAUAUUCUAACAAAUAUAAUUUUUUCAUGAACGGGAAGGUUCCUCUGCAAACUCCCAGUUUGUAAGAGACACUUGUUCCAAAGUCAAAAAUUUUGAGACUCUCAAAGAUAUCUUCCUCACCAUGUUUUAUUCUUCCCUCGGAUUAUUAUUCUCACAAGGUAAAUUAAUUAAAGAUUGGGGAGUUUCCGUAUUAUUGAUAGUGAAUCAGAUGCUAAAGGAAAGGUGUGACCACCCAAAACUAGGUCCUGGGGUAACAAGCACUAGGAACCACAUAAGGCCCGAGAGUACCUCUUAAGCAUUAUGAGAAUUCUAAGUGGUAGAAGAAAACACUUGUCAGAGAUAUACUAAAAAACUAUAUAAAACUCAUUAAACCAUUUAAAAUCUCCAAAAUAAUACUGAAAUACUGAAACUCCUAUUCAAC
This 1056-nucleotide long non-coding RNA is filed under the name Capsicum annuum. RNAcentral's name for it is "long non-coding RNA (CANN_LNC010323)". Lineage: Eukaryota; Viridiplantae; Streptophyta; Magnoliopsida; Solanales; Solanaceae. The record is from RNAcentral.